GAUGAACGCUAGCUACAGGCUUAACACAUGCAAGUCGAGGGGCAACGAGAUCGUAAGCUUGUUUGUGAUGGGCCUCGAGGGGCGCACGGGAGAGACACGCGUAUCCCACGCUGCUCAACUCUUGGGCGAUCACUUUGCGAGAGUGAGACUUAUACCCAAGGAUAUCUAUAGAAGACAUCUGCAAGAGAUUAGAGAUUUAUCGGUGAUGGAUGGGGAUGCGUUUGAUUAGAUAGUAGGCGGGGUAACGGCCCACCUAGUCAACGAUCAAUAGGGGUUCUGAGAGGAAGGUCCCCCACAUUGGAACUGAGACACGGUCCAAACUCCUACGGGAGGCAGCAGUGAGGAAUAUUGGUCAAUGGGCGAGAGCCUGAACCAGCCAAGUAGCGUGCAGGAUGACGGCCCUAUGGGUUGUAAACUGCUUUUAUAAGGGAAUAAAGUGAGUCUCGUGAGACUUUUUGCAUGUACCUUAUGAAUAAGG
Molecule: ribosomal RNA, 478 nt
Filed under: uncultured Bacteroidales bacterium
Lineage: Bacteria; Pseudomonadati; Bacteroidota; Bacteroidia; Bacteroidales
Description: bacterial SSU rRNA
Rfam family: Bacterial small subunit ribosomal RNA
Source: RNAcentral